Molecule: ribosomal RNA, 253 nt
Filed under: uncultured bacterium
Lineage: Bacteria
Description: partial 16S ribosomal RNA
Rfam family: Bacterial small subunit ribosomal RNA
Source: RNAcentral
UACAGAGGUGGCAAGCGUUGUUCGGAAUUACUGGGCGUAAAGGGCGCGUAGGCGGCCUUCUAAGUCAGACGUGAAAUCCCCCGGCUUAACCUGGGAACUGCGUCUGAUACUGGGAGGCUCGAGUAUGGGAGAGGGAUGUAGAAUUCCAGGUGUAGCGGUGAAAUGCGUAGAUAUCUGGAGGAAUACCGGUGGCGAAGGCGGCAUCCUGGACCAUUACUGACGCUGAGGCGCGAAAGCGUGGGGAGCGAACAGG